CUCAGGAUGAACGCUAGCGGCAGGCUUAACACAUGCAUGUCGAGGGGUAACGAUCCCGCUUCGGUGGGAGGCGACGACCGGCAAAUGGGUGAGUAAUACAUAUGCAACUUGCCCGUAGCUGGAGGAUAGCUUCCGGAAACGGAAAUUAAUACUCCAUAAUAUCCUAAUAUCGCAUGUUAUAAGGAUUAAAGUUUCGACGGCUACGGAUGGGCAUAUGUCCCAUUAGCUUGUUGGUGAGGUAACGGCUCACCAAGGCUACGAUGGGUAGGGGGCCUGAGAGGGUGAUCCCCCACACUGGUACUGAGACACGGACCAGACUCCUACGGGAGGCAGCAGUGAGGAAUAUUGGUCAAUGGAGGCAACUCUGAACCAGCCAAGCCGCGUGAAGGAAGACUGUCCUAUGGAUUGUAAACUUCUUUUGUGGCAGAAUAAACUACCGUACUUGUACGGUAUUGCAUGUAUGCCAUGAAUAAGCAUCGGCUAACUCCGUGCCAGCAGCCGCGGUAAUACGGAGGAUGCAGGCGUUAUCCGGAUUUAUUAGGUUUACAGGGUGUACAGGCUGCCUGGUAAGUCAGGGGUGAAAGUCGGUUUGCUCAACGAUCGAAUUGCCUUUGAAACUGUCAGGCUCGAGUAUGGAUGCGGUAUGCGGAAUGUGUAGU
This 659-nucleotide ribosomal RNA is filed under the name uncultured organism. Its description in RNAcentral is "bacterial SSU rRNA". It matches the Rfam family "Bacterial small subunit ribosomal RNA", at positions 23 to 674 of the family's 1533-position model. The record is from RNAcentral.